UGGGGAAUAUUGCGCAAUGGGCGAAAGCCUGACGCAGCAACGCCGCGUGAGUGAUGAAGGCCUUCGGGUCGUAAAGCUCUGUCGGAGGGAACGAAUGCUCCUGAAGUUAACAGCCUCAGGAGGUGACGGUACCCUCAAAGGAAGCACCGGCUAACUCCGUGCCAGCAGCCGCGGUAAUACGGAGGGUGCAAGCGUUGUUCGGAUUUACUGGGCUUAAAGGGUGUGUAGGCGGGUCGACAAGUGUCUGGUGAAAGCCCCGGGCUCAACCCGGGAACGGCUGGGCAUACUGACGAUCUUGAGGCAGGUAGAGGUCACUGGAACAACUGGUGGAGCGGUGAAAUGCGUAGAUAUCAGUUGGAACGCCGGAGGCGAAAGCGGGUGACUGGGCCUGUCCUGACGCUGAAACACGAAAGCGUGGGGAGCAAACGGGAUUAGAUACCCAUGUAGUCCCUGAGCGGGCUGGCAAGGCGCAU
RNAcentral lists this ribosomal RNA (473 nucleotides) under uncultured bacterium. Its description in RNAcentral is "bacterial SSU rRNA". It matches the Rfam family "Bacterial small subunit ribosomal RNA", at positions 355 to 825 of the family's 1533-position model. The record is from RNAcentral.